This is a non-coding RNA of Paramuricea clavata, 338 nucleotides long. NCBI's taxonomy places the organism in Eukaryota, Metazoa, Cnidaria, Anthozoa, Malacalcyonacea, Plexauridae. The record is from the annotation of a GenBank genome assembly.
AUUAAUAUUCAAUUUAUUUACAUUUCAAUAGUAAACACUACUAUGACAAUGGGUACAUAUUCAUAAUGACAAAAUGAAAAAGCCUAUUUUCAUUAAUACAGGUUUUCUUGAAAAAAGAUGAAAGACAUCUUAAGUGGGAAAAUGUAGUUUAAGAGAGCAAUAAAUGAUGGGCAACAGUGGAGGGCAAAACGCCACAGCUACAUUUGUAGUAAUCAUUUCGAUGCAUGUGACUACACUCAGGGGUCGAUCCAGCAAGGUUUUUCUAGGGGGUGCUGGGUGAGCAGCCGAGUGUUCCUUUAUAAUUCUUUAGGGGGUGGUGGGAGAGCAUUCAAAUAAAU